RNAcentral lists this ribosomal RNA (543 nucleotides) under uncultured bacterium. RNAcentral's name for it is "bacterial SSU rRNA". It matches the Rfam family "Bacterial small subunit ribosomal RNA", at positions 73 to 612 of the family's 1533-position model. The record is from RNAcentral.
ACGGGGGCAACCCUGGUGGCGAGUGGCGAACGGGUGAGUAAUACAUCGGAACGUGCCCAGUCGUGGGGGAUAACGCAGCGAAAGCUGUGCUAAUACCGCAUACGAUCUACGGAUGAAAGCGGGGGACUCGCAAGGGCCUCGCGCGAUUGGAGCGGCCGAUGGCAGAUUAGGUAGUUGGUGGGGUAAAGGCUCACCAAGCCUGCGAUCUGUAGCUGGUCUGAGAGGACGACCAGCCACACUGGGACUGAGACACGGCCCAGACUCCUACGGGAGGCAGCAGUGGGGAAUUUUGGACAAUGGGCGCAAGCCUGAUCCAGCCAUUCCGCGUGCAGGAUGAAGGCCUUCGGGUUGUAAACUGCUUUUGUACGGAACGAAAAGGCUCUGGUGAAUACCCGGGGCUCAUGACGGUACCGUAAGAAUAAGCACCGGCUAACUACGUGCCAGCAGCCGCGGUAUACUAUGGUGCGAGCGUUAAUCGGAAUUACUGGGCGUAAAGCGUGCGCACGCGGUGAUGCAAGACAGAUGUGAAAUCCCCGGGCUCAA